UACGUAGGCAGCAAGCGUUGUUCGGAGUUACUGGGCGUAGAGGGUGUGUAGGCGGUUCUUUAAGUUUGGUGUGAAAUCUCCCGGCUCAACCGGGAGGGUGCGCCGAAUACUGAGGGACUAGAGUGCGGGAGAGGAAAGUGGAAUUCCUGGUGUAGCGGUGAAAUGCGUAGAUAUCAGGAGGAACACCGGUGGUGUAGACGGCUUUCUGGACCGUAACUGACGCUGAUACACGAAAGCGUGGGUAGCAAACAGG
This 253-nucleotide ribosomal RNA is filed under the name uncultured bacterium. RNAcentral's name for it is "partial 16S ribosomal RNA". It matches the Rfam family "Bacterial small subunit ribosomal RNA", at positions 524 to 776 of the family's 1533-position model. The record is from RNAcentral.